Ameiurus melas (black bullhead) is the source of this 78-nucleotide non-coding RNA. NCBI's taxonomy places the organism in Eukaryota, Metazoa, Chordata, Actinopteri, Siluriformes, Ictaluridae. The record is from the annotation of a GenBank genome assembly.
GUAGUUGUGGCCGAGUGGUUAAAGCGAUGGAAUGAAAUCAUUGGGGUCUCCAGCGCAGGUUCGACUCCUGCCAACUCG